CACCGCGGUUAAACGGGAGGCCCGAGUUGACAGAUGCCGGCGUAAAGAGUGGUCAAGGAAUCUAACAACUAAAGCCGAACAACCUCCCCCGCUGUUAUAAGCACUCGGAGAAAUUGAAGCCCCACCACGAAGGUGGCUUUAUUACACCUGAACCCACGACAACUAAGAAA
RNAcentral lists this ribosomal RNA (170 nucleotides) under Chirostomias pliopterus (scaleless dragonfish). Its description in RNAcentral is "partial 12S rRNA". Lineage: Eukaryota; Metazoa; Chordata; Actinopteri; Stomiiformes; Stomiidae. RNAcentral also lists the same sequence under 1 other name. The record is from RNAcentral.